AUUGAACGCUGGCGGCAUGCCUUACACAUGCAAGUCGAACGUGAAAGCGGGGCAACCCGCAAGUAGAGUGGCGACGGGUGAGUAAUACAUCGGAACGUGUCCAGUAAUGGGGGAUAACCUAGCGAAAGUUAGGCUAAUACCGCAUACGAUCUGCGGAUGAAAGCGGGGGAUGCGGCACUAAAGGCUUUUGGCGAAGGUGGCCAAAGGUGAGUCAAGAGCUUUUAGUGCUGCACCUCGCGUUAUUGGAGCGGCUGAUGUCUGAUUAGCUAGUUGGUGAGGUAAAGGCUUACCAAGGCGACGAUCAGUAGCUGGUCUGAGAGGACGGCCAGCCACACUGGGACUGAGACACGGCCC
RNAcentral lists this ribosomal RNA (354 nucleotides) under uncultured bacterium. RNAcentral describes it as "bacterial SSU rRNA". It matches the Rfam family "Bacterial small subunit ribosomal RNA", at positions 30 to 332 of the family's 1533-position model. The record is from RNAcentral.